CUCCAAUAUUCCCUUUAGUUUCUGAUAGAAUAAAUAAAAUGUUCUAUGUGCAGAGACCCGCGUAUGUAACUGCCUUUAAUUCAGCGCCAUUAACAACACGGGUCUCCAAAAUAUCCACACGGAAACAUGUUGUAAACUAAGCUAACGUUCGGUCCAUUAGCUGUAGGGAGCUAACGUUAACGUUUACUUUAUCUUUAUUUCGGGCUCUUAGCCUCUUGAAUGAAUACCUGAGUCGGGUAUUAAAUGGAUUUUCGUCUAAACCUGAACGCUCUGAAGUUCGCUUCUGGAAGUUCCGUUGUUGUGAUUAUACAAAAAAAGUUGUUUAUCUCCCAACGUUCGGUGAAAGUGCCGUCGGCGCCAUUUUGUUUCCCCAAUUUCCGAGACAAAUUUGGACGAAAUUAUCCAUUUAAGCAAAAUUAAAAAUACCAUUUGAAUCCCUAUACAUGUGUUGACACAUUACACACGGUCCCUGCCAUAAAAAACACACUUUUGACGUUUAAUUACCAUUUUACACGGAAGAAACUCCAGAUGUGCCCCAAAUCAGUUUCUCCAUAAUUUGCUAGCUUAAAUUCAGAACAUUCCAUUUCUUAAUAUUCAACAUUUAACGUUAUUACGUGCAAUUUUUGUACUGAGGGGCUCCACCGCAGGGGGUCCACUGGAAGACAUCGUCUCCUCCACGUAACACUCGUAACACAGCUACACUCGUCAAGUUCAACAGCAGAAGUGAAUUCAGAAUGGCCAGCAGCGUUCAGGUGACCUCAGUGAAACGUCACCGUCCUGUUGCCAUGGCGUUUACUCACCGCUGUGCGUGAGGCGGUUU
This is a long non-coding RNA of Gasterosteus aculeatus aculeatus (three-spined stickleback), 820 nucleotides long. Lineage: Eukaryota; Metazoa; Chordata; Actinopteri; Perciformes; Gasterosteidae. The record is from Ensembl.